Macrobrachium nipponense is the source of this 372-nucleotide long non-coding RNA. RefSeq lists it as uncharacterized. The transcript is spliced from 2 exons. Lineage: Eukaryota; Metazoa; Arthropoda; Malacostraca; Decapoda; Palaemonidae. The record is from RefSeq and is a predicted model, not a curated record.
GAGAGAGUGAGAGUGAGUGAAGAAGAAGAAGAAGAGGAUGUGAGUGUCAAGCGAACGAGCGAACGACGACGAGUUCCCUUCAGUAGGGUUCAGACCUCCGUCGAAUAACGGUGCAUUACCGACGCCGCGCUCUCCGUCCUAUCGUCUAUUAUUUAUUUUUUUCCCACUCACAACAGCUACAACAACAACCUUCCGCUUCGCUGGAUUAUAUUACAACCAAGGAUUUUUUUUAAUUUCUAAACAAAAGAGGCGAUUUAUAUAUAUAUAUCCCCAGAGUGCUCGCUGGUUAUUAUAUGACCGAUGCCAAGUGUCGAUACAAGUGAUUCUAUAGGUGAGAGGAUAUCUUUAAUUGAAUAAAAUAAUAAAAAAGAA